AAUAUGCAAGAUGGCCGCCUCAUUGUGACCAAAAGCAUGCAUGAUUUUCUCAUGCACACAUACAGCAUGUACAGCCUAAAUGGUCGAGUUGUCGACUUCGGAUGAAUUUCAAUACCUGCCGUGUCGCUCCCCAGAGGGACCGAAUGGCGAAUUCAGUUUAAUCUGGUAAUCGAAAGCCCCGGCAGCCUUUCGACCAAACGGCUUCUCGAGGUAAGCGGUGGCAGACAGUCACCCCGGAGGACAUGUGACCAGCGCCUUUAAGGCUUUCUGGUUCUGGUCCCCAUGGUGCGUUUAAAGAUGUGGACCCGUGCCUCGUGAAAGCGACUCCCGAAUUUUAAACACAACACAAAGGAGAAAUCAGAACUCAGGUGGCACUUUCAACUGAGGACGGAGGGGGGGCUGUCAUCAUAAAUCUGGGGGCGGACUGUAAAUCGAGAAUGCCAGAGGCAUUUCUGUUUCCGCUCCCGUCAACCCCUGCAGAGAUGACAGAAUCUGGUGCCCUCAGAUGUCACUGUCACGGGAUCAGCCGAGAACGAGUCACUGUGUGCAAAGUGUGCCGAGUCACGACCAGCAAACUCCAUUAAUGUCCCACUUAUGGCUAAUGCUAACGACACAAGCGCAGGGACAACAUCUGGACAUGCAUUUUACCCACAGAACACAAUGGUGUUAAGUGACAUAGCACGGCCAGAGAUGACAAGAAGUUCUAUACUCCACACAGCGCUGAAGUGGCUCUGGUACUUAUCAACCAAAUGUGAUGCAAAGCAGGGUCAUCUGGCCUUACAGAUGAGUCUGACCUUCUCUGACAAAAGUGUGCUAAAAAUGGUCUUUUCAAGCUCAGUCCACUUACUUCACCACUAUACAGCUCCUCAGUUAAUGAGGUCCCAGAGGGAGUUUUCGGGAAUCCAUGAUUGUCAUUGGAUUAUUUGAAUUGGGUGCCAUCCAGUGGUCAAUUAGAAAACUACAAUUAAGUCAUUCAGUAAAGUUCGUCUUUUUUUUUUUUUAAUUAAUGCCUGAAAGUUUCUUACAAUGUGUUUCCGUUCACCUCAGAUGCCCAAAUAAAUCCCAUCUGAUUAUUCGAAAUUCCA
This is a long non-coding RNA of Brienomyrus brachyistius, 1085 nucleotides long. RefSeq lists it as uncharacterized. The transcript has 2 exons. Lineage: Eukaryota; Metazoa; Chordata; Actinopteri; Osteoglossiformes; Mormyridae. The record is from RefSeq and is a predicted model, not a curated record.